GACGAACGCUGGCGGCGUGCCUAAUACAUGCAAGUAGAACGCUGAAGGAGGAGCUUGCUCUUCUGGAUGAGUUGCGAACGGGUGAGUAACGCGUAGGUAACCUGCCUGGUAGUGGGGGAUAACUAUUGGAAACGAUAGCUAAUACCGCAUAAUAACAGUUGUUGCAUGACAACUGUUUGAAAGGUGCAAUUGCAUCACUACCAGAUGGACCUGCGUUGUAUUAGCUAGUUGGUGGGGUAACGGCUCACCAAGGCGACGAUACAUAGCCGACCUGAGAGGGUGAUCGGCCACACUGGGACUGAGACACGGCCCAGACUCCUACGGGAGGCAGCAGUAGGGAAUCUUCGGCAAUGGACGAAAGUCUGACCGAGCAACGCCGCGUGAGUGAAGAAGGUUUUCGGAUCGUAAAGCUCUGUUGUAAGAGAAGAACGAGUGUGAGAGUGGAAAGUUCACACUGUGACGGUAUCUUACCAGAAAGGGACGGCUAGCUACGUG
RNAcentral lists this ribosomal RNA (495 nucleotides) under uncultured bacterium. Its description in RNAcentral is "partial 16S ribosomal RNA". It matches the Rfam family "Bacterial small subunit ribosomal RNA", at positions 28 to 507 of the family's 1533-position model. The record is from RNAcentral.